UCGAACGUAGUUCAGUGGUAGAACAUCACCUUGCCAAGGUGGGGGUCGCGGGUUCGAACCCCGUCGUUCGCU
Molecule: transfer RNA, 72 nt
Filed under: Streptococcus intermedius
Lineage: Bacteria; Bacillati; Bacillota; Bacilli; Lactobacillales; Streptococcaceae
Description: tRNA-Gly
Rfam family: tRNA
About the family: Transfer RNA (tRNA) molecules are approximately 80 nucleotides in length.
Source: RNAcentral